GACGAACGCUGGCGGCGUGCUUAACACAUGCAAGUCGAACGCUGAAGCUCAGCUUUUGUUGGGUGGAUGAGUGGCGAACGGGUGAGUAACACGUGAGUAACCUGCCCCCUUCUUUGGGAUAACGCCCGGAAACGGGUGCUAAUACUGGAUAUUCACUGGUCUUCGCAUGGGGGCUGGUGGAAAGGGUUUUUCUGGUGGGGGAUGGACUCGCGGCCUAUCAGCUUGUUGGUGGGGUGAUGGCCUACCAAGGCUUUGACGGGUAGCCGGCCUGAGAGGGUGACCGGUCACAUUGGGACUGAGAUACGGCCCAGACUCCUACGGGAGGCAGCAGUGGGGAAUAUUGCACAAUGGGCGCAAGCCUGAUGCAGCGACGCCGCGUGAGGGAUGGAGGCCUUCGGGUUGUGAACCUCUUUCGCUCAUGGUCAAGCCGCAACAAUGGUUGUGGUGAGGGUAGUGGGUAAAGAAGCGCCGGCUAACUACGUG
RNAcentral lists this ribosomal RNA (483 nucleotides) under uncultured bacterium. RNAcentral's name for it is "partial 16S ribosomal RNA". It matches the Rfam family "Bacterial small subunit ribosomal RNA", at positions 28 to 507 of the family's 1533-position model. The record is from RNAcentral.